Molecule: long non-coding RNA, 1121 nt
Filed under: Stegodyphus dumicola
Lineage: Eukaryota; Metazoa; Arthropoda; Arachnida; Araneae; Eresidae
Description: uncharacterized LOC118200439, transcript variant X2
Source: RNAcentral
UUUUGAAUGUCGGAGAAAGCAUUUGGUGUUUUGUUCAGAGGAACAUUGCUUAUCUGCACCGAAUAAUAAAACAAAAAUUGGCAACAAUUAGAGCUUUUGCAUUUUCCUGUAAGUCUUUGGACUGUGAUUAAUGAAAGGAGACAUGGAUGCGUUUCAGGAAUGACAGUAUUAAAGAGCUGUCAGAACAUUAAUAUCGGGACGAGAACUGGCCAAAGAUGGUGCCCCUUUCAAACAGCAGCUGGAAUUAAUUUCUGGUAACCCAGUUUCUAUCAAAUUUUCUCAUAACCUGAGAAUUUGCUUACGAGUACAUAUACCAUCUAACUACAAGCCGAUGGUUUGCUGUUUUCUAAAUUAGCAGAAGAUGAACAAUCUCUUCAAGGAAUAAGCAAUUACUCAACAGGUUAUCUUAUCACAAGCAAUUGACUGCUGGUUUCUUCUUUGCAUCUCAUAGCUGCCUUAUGAAUGCCUUAAAGUUUGAAAGCUGAAAACAAGUGUGUUGGUUACUUAACAAUACGUGUGGCAUAAACCCAUGUGCGUUUAAGUGCCACUUUUAGUUUGAAUACUUUAGAUGUUUCUCAAAAUGCACUUUCUGAUAAAGAUAUUUAAAAACGACUCAUCGAAAAAUAGUAAAAUUUCUUUUAUGAUUAUAAAGUGCUUCUUAUUGUAUUUGCUAAGCAAUACUAAAUACUUUGCCUUGAAUAUAAGAGAUUUACAUUGCCUUAUCAAGCUGAAAUUUUUAUUUAAAAGUUUUAAUAAUUUAUAUCAUAAUAAUUUAUAAAUCACUUGAUAUAUGAAUGAAGAAAUUAAAUGAAUUUGGAAUAAGACACACUUAAAAACUGUUCUUUUUUAUUAGAAACGCCUUGUGGCGAUUUCCUGCUGUUAGAUUUCUAAAUACCAUGUAACUUAAUUCUUAAUAAGUUCAUUGGUAUGCUUAAUGAGCGCGUUUUAUACUUUCACUCAUCUGUUAAGUUUACUAACAACAUAAUAAUUUGCUUUUUCCUGCAUACAUAUUAAACUAUUGCUCUUGAUUGCUUAUUAUGAGGAAUACAUUUUUUAUUUUCUAGUUUACUGAAUUUCUUUUUCUUUUGAAACUAUUGUAUAAAUUUCAUAAUAAAUUUUAU